RNAcentral lists this transfer RNA (71 nucleotides) under Aplocheilus lineatus (striped panchax). RNAcentral describes it as "tRNA-Trp". It matches the Rfam family "tRNA". Rfam says of the family: Transfer RNA (tRNA) molecules are approximately 80 nucleotides in length. Their secondary structure includes four short double-helical elements and three loops (D, anti-codon, and T loops). The record is from RNAcentral. Lineage: Eukaryota; Metazoa; Chordata; Actinopteri; Cyprinodontiformes; Aplocheilidae.
AGAGACUUAGGUUAAAAUCAGACCAAGGGCCUUCAAAGCCCUAAGCGAGAGUGAAAAUCUCCCAGUCCCUG